This 460-nucleotide ribosomal RNA is filed under the name uncultured bacterium. Its description in RNAcentral is "partial 16S ribosomal RNA". It matches the Rfam family "Bacterial small subunit ribosomal RNA", at positions 338 to 795 of the family's 1533-position model. The record is from RNAcentral.
CCUACGGGAGGCAGCAGUGAGGAAUAUUGGUCAAUGGCCGGAAGGCUGAACCAGCCAUGCCGCGUGAAGGUCAGUGCCCUAUGGGCGUUAAACUUCUUUUGUGCGGGAGCAAUAAUGGUCACGUGUGGCCAGACGAGAGUACCGUACGAAUAAGCAUCGGCUAACUUCGUGCCAGCAGCCGCGGUAAUACGGGGGAUGCAAGCGUUAUCCGGAUUUAUUGGGUUUAAAGGGUGCGUAGGCUGGGAGGUAAGUCAGCGGUGAAAUGCCCCCGCUCAACGGGGUGAAGUGCCAUUGAUACUGCCUGGCUGGAAUGCGGAUGCGGUGGGAGGAAUGUGUGGUGUAGCGGUGAAAUGCAUAGAUAUCACACAGAACACCGAUUGCGAAGGCAUCUCACGAAUCCGCGAUUGACGCUGAUGCACGAAAGCGUGGGUAUCAAACAGGAUUAGAUACCCGAGUAGUC